This 468-nucleotide ribosomal RNA is filed under the name uncultured bacterium. Its description in RNAcentral is "partial 16S ribosomal RNA". It matches the Rfam family "Bacterial small subunit ribosomal RNA", at positions 28 to 507 of the family's 1533-position model. The record is from RNAcentral.
GACGAACGCUGGCGGCGUGCUUAACACAUGCAAGUCGAACGGAAAGGCCCUGCUUUUGUGGGGUGCUCGAGUGGCGAUCGGGUGAGUAACACGUGAGUAACCUGCCCUUGACUUUGGGAUAACUUCAGGAAACUGGGGCUAAUACCGGAUAGGAGCUCCUGCUGCAUGGUGGGGGUUGGAAAGUUUCGGCGGUUGGGGAUGGACUCGCGGCUUAUCAGCUUGUUGGUGGGGUAGUGGCUUACCAAGGCUUUGACGGGUAGCCGGCCUGAGAGGGUGACCGGCCACAUUGGGACUGAGGUACGGCCCAGACUCCUACGGGAGGCAGCAGUGGGGAAUAUUGCACAAUGGGCGGAAGCCUGAUGCAGCAACGCCGCGUGCGGGAUGACGGCCUUCGGGUUGUAAACCGCUUUCGCCUGUGACGAAGCGUGAGUGACGGUAAUGGGUAAAGAAGCACCGGCUAACUACGUG